This is a long non-coding RNA of Oncorhynchus keta (chum salmon), 1571 nucleotides long. RefSeq lists it as uncharacterized. The transcript is spliced from 3 exons. The record is from RefSeq and is a predicted model, not a curated record. NCBI's taxonomy places the organism in Eukaryota, Metazoa, Chordata, Actinopteri, Salmoniformes, Salmonidae.
CCAACGCUCUAACCACUAGGCUACGCUGCCGCUGUUGAUAAGUGUGUGAAUUGGACCAUUUUCUGUCCUGCUAAGCAUUCAAAAUGUAACGAGUACCUUUGGGUGUCAGGGAACAUGUAAGUAAGAAAGUACAUUAUUUUCUUUAGGAAUGUAGUGAAGUAAAAAUUGACAGAAAUAUUAAUAGUAAAGUACAGAUACCCCAAAAACGAUUUUUGUAGUACUUUAAAGUAAUUCUACUUCAGUACUUUACACCACUGGAUAUGGCACAUCAUACAACACUGUGGAAAUAUGUACUGCAUGUUAUGGAAACUGCAAAGUAUCUGUUUCAGUCAACAAGUAAACAUUUGCUUCUGACACAAAAAAAAUAUAAUUGUAGAGAAAUGUCAACAGACUAGGUUUAAUCAAGAUGUCAAGGAUGAAAGGUUAAGGGUUUGUGUGCCCGCCUGUUUCAUUACAAUAUCUUCCAACCAGGUGAACCCCAGUUUAUAAUCCAGAAGUUACCUUGGGCAUUAUGAGUGAAAGAGAGACCCGGCUCUAAAUAUAUUAAACUUGUUUUGACCCACUGACUCCACCCCCGGUUAGAGGGGAAUAAAGCAGCCCAAGAAUUAACACACAGGAACCAUACUGUAUAUGAAUAUACUGUACAUACGAUAUGACAAGAGCUGUACCAACAGUAAUAAAGGACUGUAUAAAGGACAUAUCAUCCCUGAACAUGUUUACGGGUUACAAGCUAUACAGAGGACAUAUCAUCCCUGAACAUGUUUAUGGGUUACAAGCUAUACAGAGGACAUAUCAUCCCUGAACAUGUUUAUAGGUUACAAGCUAUACAGAGGACAUAUCAUCCCUGAACAUGUUUACAGGUUACAAGCUAUACAGAGGACAUAUCAUCCCUGAACAUGUUUAUAGGUUACAAGCUAUACAGAGGACAUAUCAUCCCUGAACAUGUUUAUAGGUUACAAGCUAUACAGAGGACAUAUCAUCCCUGAACAUGUUUAUAGGUUACAAGCUAUACAGAGGACAUAUCAUCCCUGAACAUGUUUAUAGGUUACAAGCUAUACAGAGGACAUAUCAUCCCUGAACAUGUUUAUAGGUUACAAGCUAUACAGAGGACAUAUCAUCCCUGAACAUGUUUACAGGUUACAAGCUAUACAGAGGACAUAUCAUCCCUGAACAUGUUUACAGGUUACAAGCUAUACAGAGGACAUAUCAUCCCUGAACAUGUUUACAGGUUACAAGCUAUACAGAGGACAUAUCAUCCCUGAACAUGUUUAUGGGUUACAAGCUAUACAGAGGACAUAUCAUCCCUGAACAUGUUUAUAGGUUACAAGCUAUACAGAGGACAUAUCAUCCCUGAACAUGUUUAUAGGUUACAAGCUAUACAGAGGACAUAUCAUCCCUGAACAUGUUUAUAGGUUACAAGCUAUACAGAGGACAUAUCAUCCCUGAACAUGUUUAUAGGUUACAAGCUAUACAGAGGACAUAUCAUCCCUGAACAUGUUUAUAGGUUACAAGCUAUACAGAGGACAUAUCAUCCCUGAACAUGUUUAUAGGUUACAAGCUAUACAGAGGAC